GCAGUCGAACGAACUUCCGUUAAUUGAUUAUGACGUACUUGUACUGAUUGAGAUUUUAACACGAAGUGAGUGGCGAACGGGUGAGUAACACGUGGGUAACCUGCCCAGAAGUAGGGGAUAACACCUGGAAACAGAUGCUAAUACCGUAUAACAGAGAAAACCGCAUGGUUUUCUUUUAAAAGAUGGCUCUGCUAUCACUUCUGGAUGGACCCGCGGCGUAUUAGCUAGUUGGUGAGGUAAAGGCUCACCAAGGCAGUGAUACGUAGCCGACCUGAGAGGGUAAUCGGCCACAUUGGGACUGAGACACGGCCCAGACUCCUACGGGAGGCAGCAGUAGGGAAUCUUCCACAAUGGACGCAAGUCUGAUGGAGCAACGCCGCGUGAGUGAAGAAGGGUUUCGGCUCGUAAAGCUCUGUUGUUAAAGAAGAACGUGGGUAAGAGUAACUGUUUACCCAGUGACGGUAUUUAACCAGAAAGCCACGGCUAACUACGUGCCAGCAGCCGCGGUAAUACGUAGGUGGCAAGCGUUAUCCGGAUUUAUUGGGCGUAAAGCGAGCGCAGGCGGUCUUUUAAGUCUAAUGUGAAAGCCUUCGGCUCAACCGAAGAAGUGCAUUGGAAACUGGGAGACUUGAGUGCAGAAGAGGACAGUGGAACUCCAUGUGUAGCGGUGAAAUGCGUAGAUAUAUGGAAGAACACCAGUGGCGAAGGCGGCUGUCUGGUCUGCAACUGACGCUGAGGCUCGAAAGCAUGGGUAGCGAACAGGAUUAGAUACCCUGGUAGUCCAUGCCGUAAACGAUGAUUACUAAGUGUUGGAGGGUUUCCGCCCUUCAGUGCUGCAGCUAACGCAUUAAGUAAUCCGCCUGGGGAGUACGACCGCAAGGUUGAAACUCAAAAGAAUUGACGGGGGCCCGCACAAGCGGUGGAGCAUGUGGUUUAAUUCGAAGCUACGCGAAGAACCUUACCAGGUCUUGACAUCUUCUGACAGUCUAAGAGAUUAGAGGUUCCCUUCGGGGACAGAAUGACAGGUGGUGCAUGGUUGUCGUCAGCUCGUGUCGUGAGAUGUUGGGUUAAGUCCCGCAACGAGCGCAACCCUUAUUACUAGUUGCCAGCAUUAAGUUGGGCACUCUAGUGAGACUGCCGGUGACAAACCGGAGGAAGGUGGGGACGACGUCAAAUCAUCAUGCCCCUUAUGACCUGGGCUACACACGUGCUACAAUGGAUGGUACAACGAGUCGCGAGACCGCGAGGUUAAGCUAAUCUCUUAAAACCAUUCUCAGUUCGGACUGUAGGCUGCAACUCGCCUACACGAAGUCGGAAUCGCUAGUAAUCGCGGAUCAGCAUGCCGCGGUGAAUACGUUCCCGGGCCUUGUACACACCGCCCGUCACACCAUGAGAGUUUGUAACACCCAAAGCCGGUGG
Molecule: ribosomal RNA, 1419 nt
Filed under: Pediococcus pentosaceus
Lineage: Bacteria; Bacillati; Bacillota; Bacilli; Lactobacillales; Lactobacillaceae
Description: bacterial SSU rRNA
Rfam family: Bacterial small subunit ribosomal RNA
Source: RNAcentral